Long non-coding RNA from Ostrea edulis (European flat oyster), 7642 nucleotides. RefSeq lists it as uncharacterized. NCBI's taxonomy places the organism in Eukaryota, Metazoa, Mollusca, Bivalvia, Ostreida, Ostreidae. The transcript has 2 exons. The record is from RefSeq and is a predicted model, not a curated record.
GACUGAUUCUAUGUAACUAUCAAAAUUCAGUGGCCACGGUAUGUCACAGAUUUUUAUGAAACUUUGUGUGUAACAAUAUUAUGAUAGAUAUAAAACAAAAAGGACAUGCAAAGGUUUGACUUAGCAACGGUUGCCAUGGAAACCGAUCCUCUAACAACAACUGGACAAGAUAUGCACAUGUAUGUUAUAUUUUGAAUAAUCAAAAAUUAAACGCUAUUGUUUAUAAAAACAACAAUUGUAAAAAUUAUUUUGAGCUAGGUUCUAGCUUUUAGAAAAUUUUUUGUAUUUAUUUAAUCCUUGGAAACAAUAGAAAUAAUUAUUUUUAUGAUGUAUAAGGGUUUGAUAUAUGUAAUUUUUAGAGAGGGAUAAAAUAUAUUUGCCCAGUCAUUUGGUGUAAACUCACAUGCUAGUAAAAUGUAUUGAAUCUUACUUUAAAAAAGUACAGAAACACAUUUGUGGAGAAACCAAAGGUAAACACAUAAACCAGUAGUUUCCUCUGGUGCACAAACCAAAAUACACCAGAAAGAGUUAUUGCCCUUUGUAACACUCUCUUGUAUUGGAGAUAUGAACAGCCUUCAUUUGUUUUCAGUAUGGCAGGAGGUGGAAAUUGAGUUUUUAUUCAAUUUGUUCUUCAGAAGUUUAUCAAUAUCAGAUGCUCUUUGUUCACUUAAUUCACUACCACGAUCUUUAUCUUCAAUUGUGCUAAAGGAUUCUGGUUUAUUUCAUGGAAUACAAAUCCGUUUGAUCUUUGCCAUAGUCACCGGACUCUAGCAUCCAAUCGUCUACGUAUUCGUAGAAAAAGUAAAUGUUGUGGAAUUUAACGCUUUAUUACAUCACAUCCGACUAAAAAAAAUGACCAGGGAAACAGAAGGCUGACAGACAUAUUCAUAGAAAAUAUGAAAAAGCCCUGCCUGCUGCCGUGUUGGAACUUGUAUGGACCUGUAUGAGCAUCAUACUGUGCAAAUCACCUAAAGAUGGAGUUGACCAAGUUGCUGACUUUGAGGAGGUAAAUAUUCAGCAUUAAUACAUACACAUUGAAUACAUAAUUUGAAAUUCAAAUUUGAAUCCCAGUAUUAUAAAUCCUAAAACAAAUUAAUAGAUGUGGGGAAUGUGGUACAUUGGGUUUAGUUUCUUGGUUAUAGAGCCUGCAUGGAAACUGAAUUCUCUAGAAUAUUAAAUCACAGGAGACCAUCCAUUUUUUAUGCGACAUGAUGACUUGAAACGUUUUCAUCGUAACUUCCUAAAAAAAUUUUAUUACUUCACUUAAUUAGCAUACUCAAAAAGACUAGAUGUUUUGUUGUCAAUGACGCACAUAUAUAUGUACACAUGUGUAUGAGCUCAGUAUCAAUUGUAAAAAUGAUUAAUUCUAAUUAGGUCAAUGUUGAGAAUCACUCAAGUGACCUACAUGUUGCUAUUUGUGUGCGUCAGUCAUCAUAAGACGUUAAUUGAACAUUAAUAUUUUUUCUUGAUAACCACCCUUCCAAUUCUUUUCAAAUUUCUUUUAAGCAUCUUUGGGACAAGGGAAAUUAACAUAGAUUGUAAAUCUAAGUACUCUGGAUUGACGGUACUUUUAAAAAUGCUCUAUACCAAAAUUGAGAAUUUUGUUUUAGAACCAGGGUUUGAUUUCUUCAAUUUUAUGGAGAAAACUUUUUCAGAUAUACACUUCGUUAAAUUGUAGAGUUGGGGAAGGGGGGGGGGGUAUAAGUGUAUUUGACAUUUAUUUGUGUCCAAAUUAUGUAAUUAAUACUGAGGAUUUCAGUAGUAGUCUGUUUUUAAAACAACAGACACCUAGAAUUAAGAGCACAAUGAAAGCAUACAUGUGAUAAGGAGGGGGGGGUGUGUGACUUCAUAACAAUGCCUGAAAAUUCUUAACAAUUAAAUUUUAACAAAAAUUUUACACUAGAGAUGCCAAUUCAAGAUAAUUAACAUGCUUUGUUUAUUGGCAUCUGGUGUACAUUUAGCAACAAGUAGUGUUGUACAUUGUGAAACGAUAAAUUGAUAAUGUACAUGUAUGCGUUGGUUGUACAUGUGUUUUAGGCAUAUCUUAUUGCAUGUUUUGUUGUGUUUGGUUGUUGAAAAUAUUGAUAGAAAUUAAUAAUGAAGAAUUGCUGAUAUACUAAGGACAUCAUGAUUCUGAUCUAAAGAAAUUGAGGACUAGUUAAUAUUUACAUACUUUGUUACAUCAUGACCAUACAUUGCUUGCAAGAAAAACACACAUGGGCCACAUACAUGUAAUCAGUGACUAAGACAUUUUGUUCAGUUAUACUGUUUUCAAGCCAUUACACUUAAUUCUUAGAAAAAUUCCUUAACUGGCAAUUGAUUGCAAAUUUUCUAUUUAUUCCUUACUUGACACCAUCGAAUGACAGUAAUGUGAUGCGCGCUCCCUGUAAUCAGGGGGAAAUAACUCGUAUAGCAUUGUGAAAAAUGUAGCUCAUUGAUUAUAUUCAUAUACGUUUGAAAUAUUUUAUGGUUAUACAAGAUUUUUUACAAUAACUAUUGAAAAAGACUCGAACACAAUUUAUGUUCAUGUUAUGCAAACAUCUUAUUAAAUCAUUGACUCCGCAAAAUAUUAUGACAUCACAGGAGGGUGGAACUACCUUAAAUAAAACUGAAUGCUUAUGAAGGAAAAACAGAAAGGGGUACCAAAAUUGCGAAUUUCGAAAACACAGGGUUGUGAAUGUGGGUCCAAAAGAGUCAUAUAGUGUAUAACAUGGAUUUUGUAGCCCUUAGAGCUAUAGUGAUACUUUGAAUUUUUUUAAAUUUGAUUAAUACUCAGGUAACCAAUAAGGUUUGUGGACAUCUUGUUAAUUUAUGAGUAUUAACACUAUUAAUAGCUCUUCAAUACAGCAUAAACACAUGUAUACAAACUGUAUCAAAACCUAACAUCCUUUAGGCCAAUUCAACUUAAUUAGUAAGAUUAUCAUCCUGAGUCACCAAAAAGUAUGGGGCAGACUGUGGGAAGAUUUUAUUUUUUAAUUUUUAUUUUCUGAGAAAUAUAUUGAUGACAAACAAGUUUUUGUCAACAGAAGUGCAUAAUUUAAUGCCAGAUAUAUAAAUCUAUGUUAUUUCACAGAUGAUUUUUUAGGGGCGGGUGGGCGGGCAUGAUAAUCUAUCAACUAAGUAAUUAAGUGGUAAAAUUACUAUUCUAGCAUCAUGAAUGAUCUAGUACAUGUAAAUUUAGUUUAAUCAAAUUGAAUUAGGUGUGUACUGUAUGAAAAUGUGAAAAAUAAGAUGAACUUUUCAAUAUUUGUUCAACACAUUUUUUAGAACUUGAAGAGCAGAAUAUGCAUUCCAUGACUCUUAUGUAAUAUAGAAGACAACGAAGAGCUCUUGAGAAUGGAAAAAAAGCUGCGAGUUUUACAGUCAAUGAACACACCUCACGACACAAGUCCAUCCUGAUUCAGUAAACUGUUCUUCUAAGGAAACACCAUGACUUAGUUAAGAUCAAGUUUUGGUGUCAGAAGACUAAUGUAACUAAAACAUUGCAAAAUUAACCUGCAAGUGUCUUAUGUGAGCCUACUGAAUAAGGAUUCAUUACUGAACAGUUGAAGGAAAAUCACUAUUAUAAUGAUUUUUAGAAAAAGAUGAUUGUGUUGUUUGGAUAACAUUGUGAUCCAUGUUUGUUGAAUAAACAACUUUGCAAAAAUGAGUUGUUCUGUGUUAAUAUUAUAAAUUUACUAAUUACUGGUAUAUAGAUUACAGUAACACUGAACAAACUUCAAUAAAUUUUAAAGUUUCAUGCAGUUUCUGCAGUAGAAAAUGACACCUAUUGAUUUUCUGGUCCAAAGGUCACCAGGUGCAAUACAAUACUCUGUACAAUUGAUGUCUGACCAGUUUCUUCAGAACCCUUUGAUUGAUAGUGAUAUUUCAUACAGGGGUUGGUCACUGGUAGUAUAUGACCCCCAUUGAUUUUCAGGUCAAAAGAUUAAAAAUGGCAGGGGCCUCCGUGGCCGAGUGGUUGGAGCAUAGCGUUCAAAAUGACACGGCCUCAGUCGGCGCGGGUUCGAAUCCCGCUCGCGCUGGUAUUAAGUGAGAAAGUUUCCCAAUUUACUUUCGGAAGGUCGGUGGUCUCUUCCCAGGUACAUUGUAUCUGGGUUCUCACUUUCACCAAUAAACACUGGGCACCAUCAGAAAACUGAAAAAUUGUUGAGUGUGGCGGAAAAUAUCAAUAAAUCAAUCAAUUAAAAAUGACAAGGUGCAAUGUAGCUAGUACUCUAUGCAAUGGUGUCCCCCCAAUAUCUUGGGCCUGUUGUUCAAUUAUGAUAUUUCAUAUGUUGGUUGGUUAUGAAUAGUAGAUGACCCUAAUGAUUUCCAGGUCAAAGGUCAACAAAUACAAGGCAGUACAAUGAACAAUUUAUUGGUAUCUACCCAAUAUCUUGAGAAGACUUUUUAUAGUUAUUGAUAAUAGUUUACGUGACAAUACAGUACAUGUAAUAUAGCUCGUUUAUGGAAAUGAUUGCAAAAUCUACUUGGUGUUUGGGGAGGGGGGGGGGGGGUCCUACUGGAUUACAGUUUAUGUUUACAUGGUUUUUUUUAAUCACUCUAACUAAUUUUUAUUAAUAUGUUAAACUUCUCCAUGUUUAUUUUUGAAAUAUCAAUUGCUCAUAUUGUUCAUUUUAACCGAAAAUGGUGUAGGUUGUAUUAUUUGUCAUUAGUAUGAAUUUUUGGCAAAAUGCCCAAAUCUACAGUUUUCGCACUACAAUAGAUCAAUUGCACUACAUUUCACCAUUAAUCUUUUUAUAUAAAUUAGGAGUCUUUGAUAUGGACACCCUUUGAUGACAGUUGAUUUUGCUGUAUGUAUUUUCCAAAUUAUCUAAAUUCAUCAACGAAAUCCAACAAAAAAUCCCGUUUUGGCAAAAUGCCCAAAUCUACAGUUUUCUUACUACAAUAGAUCUAUUGCACUACGUUUCACCAUUAAUCUUUUUAUAUACAUUAAGAGUCUUUGAUAUGGACAUCCUUUGAUGACAGUUGAUUAUGCUGUAUGUAUUUUCCAAAUUAUCUAAAUUCAUCAACGAAAUCCAACAAAAAAUCCCGUUUUGGCAAAAUGCCCAAAUCUACAGUUUUCGUGCUACAAUAGAUCUAUUGCACUACGUUUCACCAUUAAUCUUUUUAUAUACAUUAAGAGUCUUUGAUAUGGACAUCCUUUGAUGACAGUUGAUUAUACUGUAUGUAUUUUCCAAAUUUUCUAAAUUCAUCAACGAAAUCCAACAAAAAAUCCCGUUUUGGCAAAAUGCCCAAAUCUACAAUUUUCAUGCUACUACAGAUCAAUUGCACUACGUUUCACCAUUAAUCUUUUUAUAUAUAUUAAGAGUCUUUGAUAUGGCAAUCCUUUGAUGGUAGUUGAUUAUGCUGUAUGCAUUUUCCAAAUUAUUUAAAUUCAUCAAUGAAAUCCAACAAAAAAUCACUUUUUGGCAAAGUGCCAAAUUAUAAUACAUUGGUACAGCGGUCAGUAACACACUCUUUACCAUAGGUGGAUAUAGAUAUCAUAAAUAAGGAGGGAAUUUUAUGGGGAAUCGAGAUUUGUGGAGAAAAUUAGUUGUCUUUUUCAAUUUUUUAUAUACCACAAGGACAAAACAUGGGCAAAACGGGCUGAAUUUUGCAGUUCAAUUAGCCCUCAUAGACUGCUGUCGGUUUCCAUGGCAACGGAUGGUAGAAAUUCGGUGGUGGGGUUGAAAUUAUGUAAGAUGGUGCAAGUAAAGUUAAUACUGUGAAAAUCAAAGAAAUCUGUGACAUUGAGUGGCCAGACCCUAUCUGAUUUCUUUGAUUUUUACAUAGAAUUGAUCUUAACAGUCACCUGAGUAUGUACAGUUUUGGACUUUAGAAAUUAUUGUUUGAUGUGUGUACUUUUCAUAUUUCUCCAUUUCUAUACGUUGUACUAGACGAUAUAUAUGUUGUUAAAACUGUCAUACAUAAUUGCUAAUUAAGAAUUAUUUUGUAGGUGAAUACGUUUUAUUAAAUCACAGUGAAAUGCAAUCUUUAUAUGAGUUCUAAGUGAGCUCUAGACAAAUGAGUUUUAGCGUUUUCAAAAAGGGUUCAUUGUAUUUUAUAGAUAAUUAUGAAACCGUUUACCUUCUAGAUGUCCAGGAGUAAAGAAGAUGGCAUUUUCAACACAUUUGGGACCUGACCCCGGAACCCAAGCGUCAUGACGUUUACAUUGCUCAUUAUAAUGAUAUUUUUCUGCUUGAUGUCCAGCAGUAAAGAAGAUUUUCUAUAGCACUUUCAAUGUAUACCAAUAUAUUACAAUAUAUUACCAAUCUAGUCCCACUCUGGUUUCUGAAACAUGAACUCUGUUUACCUGUUCAAGACAUAGGACUCAUAUAGGACUCACGGUGGGUAUGACCGGUCGACAGGGGAUGUUUACUCCUCCUAGACACCUGACUUCACUUCUGGUGUGUCCAGGGUCCGUGUUUGCCCAACUAUCUAUUUUGUGUUGCUUAUAGGAAUUAUGAGAUUGAUCACUGCUCCUUAUCUUAAUAAUAAACUGAUACCAUUUCUCCACUUACCGACAGUAAAGUAAAAAUGGUUCUAUAUUUACCGAUAGUAAGCUGAUAGUAGUCCUCCUUGCCAUUGUAAAAUCCAUAGAACGUGUCAAAACCUCUAUAAGUGGGGGUACACUCCCAACUACAAAAUCCAAGGUGCCACCUGAAAUUGCAAAACGUGAGUAAAGUUACUCAAACACUGUUGUAAGUUAGUGAUUUGUUACCAUAUUUAGAGAGGAAACAAUUGCAAUCGCUAAUUGGACCUCAUAUUGAAAUAUAGGUUGGUCCCCGAGGUUCUCUACAGCCCAGUAGCUAAGUACUUCGUUACUAGCUUGAAAAUACGGAUGUAUAUUUAAAUGCUGUGAUAAGAUUUAAAAAUUGAUUUCAAAAUUAAGGAUUAUCUCCCUCAUGCAAAGCUCUUAUCCUUAGACAAAUUUGACUCCACUUUUUGGCACACUGUUUUCCCCUAGUAUAGUUCUAGCAAGUUUAUCGUUAUUUCGGAUUUCAAACAUUUCGGUUGAGCAUCACUGAAGAGACAUUAUUUGUCGAAAUGCGCAUCUGGUACCGUAUAAGUUUUACAUUACUCAAAUCUUUCUUUUAUCAAUUCCGUUUUAAAUUCUGCAAUCUAGUCACAAUCCCACAUAUUACUUUUUCCUAAUUAGCUUUCAGUUAUGUAUAACAGAUGUCCAACAAGACUUUGAAAUGAAAUUGUAAAUCCAAAACUGAUAAAGGCAAGAUUGAUAGGCAUCGGAUCUAUUUUACCACUACCGUAUGAAAACUGCGAUGUUGUCGUAAAUGACAAUGCCAAUACUUCAAAAACAGUGAGAUCUGUAUUCAAGCUAUACAAAAUACAAGACAAUUUUGAUUAUAAUCAAUUAAAUUGACUGUUGUUUAAGUUUUACGCCCCUUUUAUAACUGCUGUGUUCAUAAUGAAGAGAAGCAGAUAUUUUAGGACAACGUUUCAUUACCACAAUUCCGCUGAUUUUUAAUCAAAAUUGAAUGGUAUUAAUAGAUAGACGGUUAAUUUCUAAAUUUCUAACUAAGCAAGAAUGAUUACCAUUUGACCAAAAUUAAGCCCUCUGAUUUACAUGUCGAUAAUGCCAUUACGUUAAAUACUUGCUUAUUGAUUGCGUUCCUUUUCAUGGUAGGCAAUCAAUCGUUGU